Molecule: long non-coding RNA, 475 nt
Organism: Austrofundulus limnaeus
Lineage: Eukaryota; Metazoa; Chordata; Actinopteri; Cyprinodontiformes; Rivulidae
Exons: 3
Source: RefSeq, a predicted model, not a curated record
AACUCAGACUGCAAUACUGAUCUGAUGCUAAUACACCUGAUGCAUCUGUGACUACAGGGGUUAGUGAUCCCAGCUUUAAUGUGGAAGUCUCCUGAGAGAAGGCCUCUUUGAUACCCACGGCAAUGAUCAAAAUGCAUUGGCUGGCUACCAUUGGACCCCCAUGGCAGAUGCCCCAUGGGACGCUGUCUGCCAGCAAUGUGGCUUUCAGCCUCCAGAGAGAACAUCUUUUGAAAAAGCCAGGAGACCUAAUGAAGUCACAGAGAGGCACAAUUAUAUCCCAAAGAAGGAGCAUUGAUGUACUUGGAAAUUCCCUCUGGAGGAACAUGAUGACAAUUGGUUUGUACAGCUUUGAUCACUGCUUUAAAUACUGCCCAAGAUAAACUACAGGGUUAUCCCCCUUUGCCACUGGUGAGUAGGCAAACCAGAAGUGGCUAUCAAGCUUUAGAGUCACCAAACCCUCAGCCUGUGCAGCUAA